Molecule: ribosomal RNA, 401 nt
Filed under: uncultured Leptolinea sp.
Lineage: Bacteria; Bacillati; Chloroflexota; Anaerolineae; Anaerolineales; Anaerolineaceae
Description: bacterial SSU rRNA
Rfam family: Bacterial small subunit ribosomal RNA
Source: RNAcentral
CCUUACCGUAGGGUUUGACAUACAAGUAGUAGGGAAGAAACUGGACCGACCCGUUCGGGGAGUCUUGUACGAGGUGCUGCAUGGCUGUCGUCAGCUCGUGUCGUGAGAUGUCGUUAAGUCCGCUAACGAGCGCAACCCUCGCUGUGUGUUACAAGUGUCACACGGAACUGCCGGUCUUAAGCCGGAGGAAGGUGGGGAUGACGUCAAGUCAGCAUGGCCUUUAUGUCCUGGGCUACACACACGCUACAAUGGCCAACACAAUAGGUUGCUAAGCCGCGAGGUGGAGCCAAUCCUCAAAGUUGGUCUCAGUUCAGAUUGCAGGCUGCAACCCGCCUGCAUGAAGAUGGAGUUGCUAGUAACCGCAGGUCAGCUAUACUGCGGUGAAUACGUUCCCGGGGCUU